CAACCUGAGAAAACACACGUACACACAUGAAUGAAUACAACAGAAUACCUAUCCACAGUCUUUUCAUUGUAAUGAGUAUGAACAUGUACAUCUAGGUCAACCACAUGUCCUGGAUUGCGCGGGACAGUCGUGCAUUUUGCAACUGUGUCACCCUUCCCACAAAGAAACAAUCAUGUCCUGCAUUUUAUCAACAUUUGAUCAGCACCACUAAUUUAGGAAAAAAAGGUUGAUUUCAGUCAGACAUUCCAACCUGUCUCUUGCAGCAAAACAGUGCCCCUCUGUCUCAGUAGGUGUAGACCAUGUAUCUGAUGCUGUCUGGACAGUGAAACAGCGCCCCAUCUGUCUCAGUAGGUGUAGACCAUGUAUCUGAUGCAGUCUGGACAGUGAAACAGUGCCCCCUCUGUCUCAGUAGGUGUAGACCAUGUAUCUGAUGCAGUCUGGACAGUGAAACAGCGCCCCCUCUGUCUCAGUAUGUAGACCAUGUAUCUGAUGCAGUCUGGACAGUGAAACAGCGCCCCAUCUGUCUCAGUAGGUGUAGACCAUGUAUCUGAUGCAGUCUGGACAGUGAAACAGUGCCCCUCUGUCUCAGUAGGUGUAGACCAUGUAUCUGAUGCAGUCUGGACAGUGAAACAGUGCACCUCUGUCUCAGUAGGUGUAGACCAUGUAUCUGAUGCAGUCUGGACAGUGAAACAGUGCACCUCUGUCUCAGUAGGUGUAGACCAUGUAUCUGAUGCAGUCUGGACAGUGAAACAGUGCACCUCUGUCUCAGUAGGUGUAGACCAUGUAUCUGAUGCAGUCUGGACAGUGAAACAGCGCCCCCUCUGUCUCAGUAUGUGUAGACCAUGUAUCUGAUGCAGUCUGGACAGUGAAACAGCGCCCCAUCUGUCUCAGUAGGUGUAGACCAUGUAUCUGAUGCAGUCUGGACAGUGAAACAGCGCCCCCUCUGUCUCAGUAGGUGUAGACCAUGUAUCUGAUGCAGUCUGGACAGUGAAACAGCGCCCCCUCUGUCUCAGUAGGUGUAGACCAUGUAUCUGAUGCUGUCUGGACAGUGAAACAGCGCCCCCUCUGUCUCAGUAGGUGUAGACCAUGUAUCUGAUGCUGUCUGGACAGUGAAACAGCGCCCCCUCUGUCUCACUAGGUGUAGACCAUGUAUCUGAUGCUGUCUGGACAGUGAAACAGCGCCCCCUCUGUCUCAGUAGGUGUAGACCAUGUAUCUGAUGCUGUCUGGACAGUGAAACAGUGCCCCCUCUGUCUCAGUAGGUGUAGACCAUGUAUCUGAUGCUGUCUGGACAGUGAAACAGCGCCCCCUCUGUCUCACUAGGUGUAGACCAUGUAUCUGAUGCUGUCUGGACAGCGAAACAGUGCCCCCUCUGUCUCAGUAUGUAUAGACCAUGUAUCUGAUGCUGUCUGGACAGUGAAACAGCGCCCCCUCUGUCUCAGUAGGUGUAGACCAUGUAUCUGAUGCUGUCUGGACAGCGAAACAGCGCCCCCUCUGUCUCAGUAUGUAUAGACCAUGUAUCUGAUGCUGUCUGGACAGCGAAACAGCGCCCCCUCUGUCUCAAGAUUUAGAUGCACUAUUGUAAAGUGGCUGUUCCACUGGAUGUCAUAAGGUAUAUGCACCAAUUUGUAAGUCGCUCUGGAUAAGAGCGUCUGCUAAAUGACUUAAAUGUAAAUGUAAUGUAAAUGUCUCAGUAGGUGUAGACCAUGUAUCUGAUGUUGUCUGGACCAAGGGUGGGGGCUCACUUUCGCCAAAAUCUGCCCAGAAUAAGCCCAAUACGAUUCUAUGGGAAUAAUAUGUAGACCUAAGCUUGUCGCCUGCCUUCCUGCCUUUGGGACAAAGACUCCCAUUGUUAGGGCGGAGUCAUGAGCGUCUCAUCAUUAUGUACAGAUCUCUGGUUUCCUCGCGAAUUAGGAAGGAAAGUUGUGGGGUGCGCAGUUCACUGUUAGGAUGCUGUAUUGCCCUAAAGUAAAUUGAUGUUUUGCCAAAAUUAUAUAAUUACUCCUUCCUAAAUAAAUGUCUAAUAAUAAUUAUAAAUACUCCACCAGGGAGCAUUACAUAGCCACAGAGGAAUAUUAGCUUAUUAUUAUUAUUUUUUUAAAGCUUAUUGUUUUCAAUCAGAAGUGUGUAGGCCUAAGCCCAUUUGGGUAGUGCACCUGGUAAUAGGUCUAGUUGAUGGAGUUGCAGCCGUCAGUGAAAAGCAUCUAAAUGUGUUAAGAUAGUGUCUUGAGUAUUUUUUUUUUAACUAGGCAAGUCAGUUAAGAACAAAUUCUUAUAUACAAUGACGACCUACCCGUCAUUGUGUGUGGAAAAUAUAUGGUGUGUCUCUCUCCAGAAUGCAUGUAUACAUGUAUACACAUGACCAAAAGUAUGUAGACACCUACUCCUCAUUCCAAAAUCAUGGGCAUUAAUAUGGAGUUGGUCUCCCCUUUGCUGCUAUAACAUCCUCCACUCUUCUGGGAAGGAUUUCCACUAGAGGGUGGAACAUUGCUGCAGGGACUUACUUCCAUUCAGCAAGGUUGGGCACUGAUGUUGGACUAUUAGGCCUGGCUCGCAGUCAGUGUUCCAGUUCAUCCCAAAAGUGUUUGAUGGGGUUGAGGUCAGGGCUCUGUGUAGGCUAGUCAAGUCCACCAAUCUCAACAAAGCAUUUCUGUAUGGACCUGGCUUUGUGCACAGGGGGCAUUGUCAUGCUCAAACAAGAAAAGGCCUUCCCCAAACUGUUGCCACAAAGUUGGAAGCACAGUAUUGUAUAGAAUGUCAUUGUAUGCUGUAGCGUUAAGAUUUCCCUUCACUGGAACUAAGGGGCCCGAACCAUGAAAUGCAGCCAUUAUUCCUCCUACAUAUAGUGUACUCUAUACCAUCUACUACAUCUUACCUAUGCCAUACGGCCAUCACUCAUUCAUAUAUUUUUAUGUACAUAUUCUUAUUUCUUUCUUUACACUUGUGUGUAUAAGGUAGUUGUUGUGAAAUUGUUAGGUUAUAUUACUUGUUAGAUAUUACUGCAUGGUCGGAACUAGAAGCACAAGCAUUUCGCUACACUCGCAUUAACAUCUGCUAACCAUGUGUAUGUGACAAAUAAAAUUUGAUUUCAUCAAACUUUACUGUUGGCACUAUGCAUUCGGGCAGCUAGCGUUCUCCUGAAAUCUGCCAAAUCCAGAUUAGUCUGUCAGACUGCCAGAUGGUGAAGAGUGAUUCAUCACUCCAGAGAACAUGUUUCCACUGCUCCAGAGUCUAAUGGCGGCGAGCUUUAUACCACUCCAGCCGACGCUUGACAUUGUGCAUGGUGAUCUUAGGCUUGCGUGCGGCUGCUUGGAAACCCAUUUCAUAAAGCUCCCACAAACAGUUAUCGUGCUGACGUUGCUUCCAGAGGCAGUUUGCAACUCGGUAGUGAGUGUAGCAACCGAGGGAAAAUUAUUUUUAUGCUCUACGCGCUUCAGCACUUGGAAGUCCAUGUUUAUCAGCUUGUGUGGCCUACCACUUCACAGCUGAGCCGUUGUUGCUCCUAGAUGUUUCCACUUCACAAUAACAGCACAUACAGUUUCCCGGGGUAGCUCUAGCAAGUCUGACAUUUGAUGAACUGACUUGUUGGAAAGGUGCCCCGUUGAAUGUCACUGAACUCUUCAGUAGGGCCAGACUACUGCCAAUGUUUGUCAAUGGAGAUUUUAAAUGUGGUCACCCUAUGUACAUCCUGCAAAACCUCACUGACAAACCAGUGUCAUAAAAGAGGGAAUCCAGUCAAGGCAGUUUCACAUGGGAUUUUCAAUGGUGAAGCUACCAAAAGCUAAACGGCUUUGAUCAAAAGCAGAACCGAGUUGCCUGCACUCAGCCUACACUAAGUCU
This is a long non-coding RNA of Oncorhynchus keta (chum salmon), 3838 nucleotides long. RefSeq lists it as uncharacterized. The record is from RefSeq and is a predicted model, not a curated record. The transcript is spliced from 5 exons. NCBI's taxonomy places the organism in Eukaryota, Metazoa, Chordata, Actinopteri, Salmoniformes, Salmonidae.